Molecule: long non-coding RNA, 624 nt
Organism: Diabrotica virgifera virgifera (western corn rootworm)
Lineage: Eukaryota; Metazoa; Arthropoda; Insecta; Coleoptera; Chrysomelidae
Exons: 2
Source: RefSeq, a predicted model, not a curated record
UUCCAACAUGUGAACAAGUCAUACCUAGAUCUCAGAUGUUACCUAGGGCAAAUUAGAUAAUAUUUUAAACAUCCAGGCUUAAGGUAGCAUUUUAUACCUAUGUUUCCUUGACGGACUACUUUUACUGGGCUUUGACCCACAUAUUUUUGUGUAAUACUAUCUUGAUGGUUAAGCAUGUACAUUGCACGUAAGCACUGAUGAUGACUGGUAAACCAGUCGAAAACUAGUUAUGUGAAUUUGAUGUGGCCCUUUUGAGGGUUUUUUAAAUAUACCUUUUAUACAGGAUUUAUUGUUUUUUGUAUCACAUGGUAUACAGCCAACUACAGGAAAACUUUUUCCUUGUGGAUUUUUAACUUAUCAAACUUAAAUUAAAAAGAAUUAGAUAUAUAAUGUUUUAACUGCAUAAAUGUCAUGUGAAUGAAGUUGUUUCUGCUAACGACUUUAUUUAUUAGAUUACAAGUAUGUAGGUAAUUAUAGUUUACAAUAAUUAUAAUGCAUAACAUUUUAAGUGACACUUUAAGCCUGUAAGCACUCACACUUUAAUUUAAAACGAAAUAAAAUGUAUUUAAUUAAGGAAUGGUAAUGUACAUACAUCAAUGUUAUAACACUUGAGUCUAAUCUAAA